UGGGGGAUAUUGCACAAUGGGCGAAAGCCUGAUGCAGCGACGCCGCGUGGGGGAUGAAGGCCUUCGGGUUGUAAACUUCUUUUGCUCUGAACAAGGCGCACCAUGGGGUGUGUUGAGUGUAGGGGUUGAUUAGCGCCGGCUAACUACGUGCCAGCAGCCGCGGUAAUACGUAGGGCGCGAGCGUUGUCCGGAAUUAUUGGGCGUAAAGGGCUGGUAGGUGGCUGGUUGCGUCUGUCGUGAAAGCUCAUGGCUUAACUGUGGGUUUGCGGUGGGUACGGGCUGGCUUGAGUGCAGUAGGGGAUGCUGGAAUUCCUGGUGUAGCGGUGGAAUGCGCAGAUAUCAGGAGGAAUACCGGUGGCGAAGGCGGGUCUCUGGGCUGUUACUGACACUGAGGAGCGAAAGCAUGGGGAGCGAACAGG
RNAcentral lists this ribosomal RNA (419 nucleotides) under bacterium. RNAcentral's name for it is "partial 16S ribosomal RNA". It matches the Rfam family "Bacterial small subunit ribosomal RNA", at positions 355 to 776 of the family's 1533-position model. The record is from RNAcentral.